RNAcentral lists this ribosomal RNA (432 nucleotides) under uncultured bacterium. Its description in RNAcentral is "partial 16S ribosomal RNA". It matches the Rfam family "Bacterial small subunit ribosomal RNA", at positions 355 to 779 of the family's 1533-position model. The record is from RNAcentral.
UGGGGAAUUUUGGACAAUGGGCGAAAGCCUGAUCCAGCAAUGCCGCGUGUGUGAAGAAGGCCUUCGGGUUGUAAAGCACUUUUGUCCGGAAAGAAAUCCUUGGCUCUAAUACAGUCGGGGGAUGACGGUACCGGAAGAAUAAGCACCGGCUAACUACGUGCCAGCAGCCGCGGUAAUACGCAGGGUGCAAGCGUUAAUCGGAAUUACUGGCGUAAAGCGUGCGCAGGCGGUUUGCUAAGACCGAUGUGAAAUCCCCGGGCUUAACCUGGGAACUGCAUUGGUGACUGGCAGGCUAGAGUAUGGCAGAGGGGGGUAGAAUUCCACGUGUAGCAGUGAAAAUGCGUAGAGAUGUGGAGGAAUACCGAUGGCGAAGGCAGCCCCCUGGGCAAAUACUGACGCUCAUGCACGAAAGCGUGGGGAGCAAACAGGAUU